AAGUCGUAACAAGGUUUCCGUAGGUGAACCUGCGGAAGGAUCAUUAAUGUAACCGGACCGGUCCUUUGCCGUAAAACGCACCGGAUUGGAAAGGGAGAUAUCAUACACCCUGUGUUUAUUUACCUUUGUUGCUUUGGCGGGCCGUCCUUUAGGCGUCGGCCCCGGCUGAUCGCGCCCGCCAGAGGACCCAAACUCUUUUAUCAGUGAUGUCUGAGUACUAUAUAAUAGUUAAAACUUUCAACAACGGAUCUCUUGGUUCUGGCAUCGAUGAAGAACGCAGCGAAAUGCGAUAAGUAAUGUGAAUUGCAGAAUUCAGUGAAUCAUCGAAUCUUUGAACGCACAUUGCGCCCCUUGGUAUUCCGAGGGGCAUGCCUGUUCGAGCGUCAUUAUAACCACUCAAGCCUGGCUUGGUAUUGGGGUUUUCGCGUGUUCGCGGCCCUUAAAAUCAGUGGCGGUGCCGUCUGGCUCUAAGCGUAGUAAUUUCUCUCGCUAUAGGGUUCCGGUGGUUACUUGCCAAAACCCCCCAUUUUUUCUAGGUUGACCUCGGAUCAGGUAGGGAUACCCGCUGAACUUAA
Molecule: ribosomal RNA, 575 nt
Filed under: uncultured Meliniomyces
Lineage: Eukaryota; Fungi; Ascomycota; Leotiomycetes; Helotiales; Helotiaceae
Description: eukaryotic LSU rRNA
Rfam family: 5.8S ribosomal RNA (bases 233-386)
Source: RNAcentral